RNA transcript from Tupaia belangeri chinensis (Chinese tree shrew), 1137 nucleotides. It is a transcript of the gene named glutamine amidotransferase class 1 domain containing 1, with no coding region annotated. Lineage: Eukaryota; Metazoa; Chordata; Mammalia; Scandentia; Tupaiidae. The record is from RefSeq and is a predicted model, not a curated record.
GUGUGUCGGCCCAGUCCUUCCUCCACUGCUUCACCUUGGCCAGCACCGCCUUCAACCUGCAGGUGGCCACCCCUGGGGGGAAGGCCAUAGACUUUGUGGAUAUAACCGAAAGCAAUGCACGCUGGGUGCAAGACUUCCGCCUUAAGGCCUAUGCCAGCCCUGCCAAGCUCGAGUCCAUCGAUGGUGCCCGGUACCAUGCCCUCCUGGUGCCCAGCUGCCCUGGGGCCCUGACCGACCUGGCCAACAGCGGGUCGCUGGCCCGGAUUCUGCAGCACUUCCACGCCGAGCACAAGCCCAUUUGUGCCGUCGGCCACGGCGUUGCCGCCCUGUGCUGUGCCACCAACGAGGACGGUUCCUGGGUGUUCCACGGCUGCAGCCUGACAGGGCCCAGCGGCUCUCCCCCCACAGCCCUCCGUGUACGAGCUCGUCAGGGCUCCCGGCUUCGCCCGCCUGCCGCUCGUGGUGGAGGACUUCGUGAAGGACUCGGGGGCCAGCUUUAGUGCCAGCGAGCCUGACGCCGUGCACGUCGUGCUGGACCGCCACCUGGUCACGGGCCAGAACGCCAACUCCACCGUCCCUGCCGUACAAAACCUGCUCUUCCUCUGCGGCGGCCGGAAGUGAGCCUGCUGGGUGGAUGGCACCACCUCAAGAUGGCCCAGCGGCUCUCGAGGCAGUUGGGUGUGGACCUCCACAGACUUGCCCUGCCUGGCCCCUCUGGACAGGGCCUCCAUCACAGCCUGGUCCAGCCCCAGGGGCUGUCGAAGCCCAGCCGACACCGGAGCCUCCACUCUCCUGGGCCAGCUCUCCUCCCGUCAGAAGUGAUGCCUCCAGGAGCCGCGGCCGCUGCCAGGCCGCACCGAGUGUACCAGGGAGAGCUGCCUGGAGAGCUGCGCGAGGGCCAGUGGAGGCCUGUCCUGCCGUGCUGCACCUGCCCUCUGCCCUCCGCUCUGCCCUCGUGGGUCGGACCUGUGGGUGGGUGGGGCCAGCUGACUGGAGCUUGCUCAGAAAUGUUCACUCUGGGGACCAGCAGUUAGCGUAAUGGCUAUGGCACUGAACUCUUAUGUAGUCGACCACGGUUCGAGUCCCGGAUGCGAUGUCUUAAACUUGCCCUGGGCGCGUGUGCGUGCGUGCCCAAGA